Long non-coding RNA from Tribolium castaneum (red flour beetle), 9307 nucleotides. RefSeq lists it as uncharacterized. The record is from RefSeq and is a predicted model, not a curated record. The transcript has 3 exons. Lineage: Eukaryota; Metazoa; Arthropoda; Insecta; Coleoptera; Tenebrionidae.
GCGAUUAGCCUAAACAUUAGACAGCCAACAAUACACGUGCGCUACAUAAAUCACAGCCGCAAAUAAAAGUGAAAACGGAAACCAGUUUUUUAUCGCUAGAUUUAUGGAUUCUAUUACAAACAACAUUAUGUAAUGUAAUUAUUAUUUGUAAUUAGUAAUCAUUGAUCACAACAACUCUGCUUCUCCUGUAACAACAAACAUCUUUGGUUUUUGCACAAGCGAAUAAUUUUUCUCAAUUUUAUGUUACAUCAAGGAAAAUAAUACGUUUGUUUUGAAAUUCGUGUGUAAUGUAUUGCAUACUUUAACAUUUGCUUAUCAAAUAACAAGGAAUGACGUUGUAGUGUGCCUUGGAUUCGUGUAAUGUUGGUCACAUAACCUUUUUCAUGAUUAAUUGCAAAUGUCGUUACAAUUAAUUAGUGAUCAAAUUAAUCAAACCCAUGUGUAAAUGCUAAUAAAAUCGGUUUAGUGAAAUGAAAAAUGGUUAAGGCAAGUGUUGAAAGUGACCACGAACGUUUUCCAAGCAUUUGAACACCUCCGCUUAACACCGCCAAGAACAUUUUCUUAUAGGUGGUUUAAGUACUUAGAAAAUUGUCUUUUUCAAGAAAUAGCCCCUGAAUUUUUUGUCACUUGAAGUUACGUCACAAGCUCGAUCGUGGAAAUUCAUGUUCCCUAUCGACUGGUCAUAAAGUCUGUACAUAGAAGUUUCACUACCUUUUUCGGUCAAAAACUACCAAAUUGGAUCGAAUUUAUGCAAUGAGUGAGUAAAGUAAUUUUUUUAAAGGUGUAGGAACAAUUGCAAUUCUUAUGAGUAAAACAAAGGUAUUUUACUCACGAGUUGCAUACAACAUUUUUUCUACGUUCGUUAAAAAAUGUAGCAUUUUUUUCAUUUAAUAAUAUCUUCGGAUGUGCAAUAAAGCUUUCGUCAUUUUCACACGUUCUUUCUUUUUAAAAAAAUUCUUAACAAGGGAAGGUUGGAAAAAUUUGCGUUUUUUGUUCAAGUGUCAUAUACUUUAUAAACAGACAUGAAUGAAAAAAAAGUUACGUUUUCGCUUUCUUACGCAUUUGUUAAAAGGGAGCGAAAAGUGACUAAAUGUAGUUAAAAAUUUGAAUAUUUUUUCCUUUUCGCAAUUAUUUUCAACCAAAAGCCAAAAUGCAGCUUUCUAAUACGUUGGCGAACCACAAAUAAAUAUUCAAGUUGGUUUUUUGAUUUUUCAAAAUAAAAAAGUAAUUUUAAUGUGAAAAAAAAAAUCCGGAAAAUUGGGAUUUUUUCCAUCAGAUGCAGUGCGGCAUUGAACCAAGGUUGUAGCCAAGGCUCUUCAAUCACAUACAUCACGCUCGCAAUUAUUCCAACAAAACAUAUAAAUAAAAACCGCAGCUAAUUAUAAAAGUUCCGUUUUAUAUUUAACUGCUUGACGCACAAUUUCGACAAAAAUAGCCACCAAAAAAAAACCGGGGGCAAAUCGGGGGCUGUUUGGGUGAUUAAUGAGGGGUACAUUUCAUGUUACAUGUGGUGACAGUUGAGACGUGAAAAACUUAAUCUUGUGUCUGGGCUAAUUAUUUCAAAAAAUCCUCUAGAAUAUUUGAGAGAGGGCCUCAACGUAUUAAUUUCCUCGGCUAAAAUUAGAAAAAACUAAACAUAUGGACUGAUACUCGUCGAUUGGCAACACUUUAAUAAAUUUAUUACCGAACGGAAUAAUAGCAACAAGUAUUUUAUUUUAUUUUUUUUUUCAAUUCAAACACGAAAAUCCAGGUCUCCAUUAAUUGCGUUCCUAUCGCACAGUUGGAACCGAUUAAUCCUCGUCUAUUUUGUCGGUUUCAAACACGUGCCAAGUUUCAGUUUUGAUCGGCUUUGCAUGUAAACUAUUCAAUCAGAAAAAAAAACGAGUGAAUCGAUCCGUGUUUAUUUUUAAAGGUUCGGAAUUAUUUGGAGGCGAAACGUGAAGGUUCAGCGGCUUCAAAACUUCAAAAAUUUGUAAAGUUGAAUAAUUAAAAAUGUUUACAAUGUAGACUUAAGGAAAAAUAAUUGUGUGUGCGUUUUUUAUUGAUAAAAGUGUGCUUUGAAAUUUGAAAAAUCAAAUAACAAAUUGAAGAAAAUUCGCUUAAAGUCAAAUUUUUUUUAUUCACAUCAGAAGGUGUUUUGGAAAAUUAAUACAGGGUGAGUCAAUAGUUGGUUACUUCUGACAUGUCCUAAGAUGCAACCAAAAAUACUAAUUUCACUUACCACUUAGAUGUUUAGUUUAAUUUGACUCAACACUGGUUUUUUAUCUUUUAACUAAUAAUAAUCUAUAAUAAAAUUUUAGCAAAACUGCCAAGAAAAAUAACCUAUUAUUGACUCAUUCUGUGUUUUCGUUAAAAAUGACAAAAUUUUAACAAAAUUUUAAGUCGUACAAGCAUAUAAUCAAACUCAAAGUUGAUUAUUUAUUUUUGACUCGACAAUGUGUCUAAGAGCUGAUGACAAAUUUUUUUGAGCUAAUGUAGGAACUGAUUUUUUUUUCUGGUUAAAAAAUCUUUCAAAAAACAGUUUAGGCAUUUACAUUUAAUUUCAACGAGAUUUUUUUGAUAAAAUUUUGCAAACCAGUCCCUUAUCUGGUUGAAACUUUUGCAUUAUCGGUGUUUAACGUAAAACUAGUCACAUUUUCGACCCAAUUCAGCGACUUUUCGGUACAUUUUUAUUGAAAUUUUGCAUAAUUGAAAAAAAAUUCCCAGUACGUAUUUUUUGAGCCAGUUUUAUGGUUUUUCAAACUGGGUUUUAUAAAAAUAAUAGCACAGUUUUCAAUUCAACUGACGAAAUUUUGCAAAGUAAUUGCAUUUUUAAAUUAAAAACCUUGUGUAACAUAUAGAAGUUUAGCAACUUUUCAUAAUUUUCUCCAUAAUUCUGUGAUUUUUCGGUCGGAAAAUCGUGCGUCGUGGAAAUUGUGUUUACUUGUUUGUUGCGAAUGUUUAUUAAUCAGUUGGACUUUGUCCGCAUCUCGCCAUUUUGUCAGAAAGAGAGGAGGUUUUUCUUCUCAUUGAGUAAAAAUCUUCAUCGAAUUGCUAUCGAUUUUGGCACGCGUGCAAAUAGCUCGGCACUAAACGGCCGAUUUCCCGAAAUUUUCAACUGUAGCUAUUUUCAACUCGGCUAAAAUAAGCGCUCGAAUUUAUCAAACAUCUUUAAUAUUGGGAUCGAACGAUUAUCGUAAGUCCGUUAACACUGGCUUUUAUGGAUCAGAAGGGAACGAUUUAAUGGGACAGGUGUGACAGAUGGGGGUAAAAUUUAUUCCAAUGGCCAACGGCCAGUGCAAUUAAAUGUUGGCGCUGCGAAACGCCUUCAUUAACUUAUUUAUAAAUGUUUCAAACUGGUUUUUACGAAAUUUUGACUUGAUUGUGGACAAUUCCAACAAUUUAUCGCCCAAUCUGAAAUCAACUUUGAGAGUCGGUUUCACCAAUGUUGCUUAAAUUUAAUAAACAGUUAAAAACAAUCGUUACACUGAUUAUAACAAUUGUUUCUGAGGAUUUAUUCUACUGAGUUUGGCGAAACCGACCCAAAGUGAAAUAGGCAACACGCUCCAGACAUGAGUGUAUAUAAAAUUGCAUAACGUUUAAAAUUAAAUUAAUAUUUACAGAGCUAGUUUGUUAUGCAGCCAACAAUACAAGUUCCAGGUUUCACUGAUAUUUUUUCAUACCGAAAACUAUUUUACCAUUUUCUUGUUCUUACGACUAUUUUUUGCGACAUUUUUUGCUCCCCCAACUAUUUUUUGUGCAACUUUUUGCUCCCACAAAUACUUUUUGUGUAAUUUUUUGUAACUGUAAAUUUUAAAAUAAAAUUGAUUGUAAAUUUGUUCAAUGUUUGCUUUCCCAACCAUUUUUUUGCUCCCCAAAUUAUUUUUUGUGCCAUUUUUUCAACUGAAAAUUUUAAAAUUUGAAAUAAAUUUCUUAAUAUUUGCCUCCAACUAUUUUUUGUGCCAUUUUUUGCUCCCUUAAAAAUUUUUUGUGCCAUUUUUUGCUCCCAUAAUAAUUUUUUGCACCAUUUUUUGCUCACCCAAAAAUUUUUUGUGCCAUUUUUUGUAACUGAAAAUUUUAAAAUUUUUAAUAAAUUUGUUCCAACUGUUUUUUGUGCUAUUUUUUGGGCCCAUAAAAAUUUUUUGCGCCAUUUUUUUGCUCCCCCGAAAAUUUUUUGUGCCAUUUUUUGCUCCCCCGAAAAUUUUUUGUGCAACUUUUUGCUCCCUUAAAAAUUUUGUUACAGAAAAUUUUUAAAUUUAAAAUAAAUUUCUUAAUAUUUGCCUCCAAAAAUUUUUUGUGCCAUUUUUUGCUCCCCCGAAAAUUUUUUGUGCAACUUUUUGCUCCCUUAAAAAUUUUGUUACAGAAAAUUUUUAAAUUUAAAAUAAAUUUCUUAAUAUUUGCCUCCUAAAAUUUUUUGCGCCAUUUUUUGCUCCCCCCUAAAAUUUUUUUCGCCAUUUUUGCAAAUUUUAAAAUUUUAAUUUCAUUUUACGAGACAAGGUGGAGAAAUAAAACGAGUUUAAUGAAAGUGAUUUAUUAUUUCAUGAAUCAUGUUUACUUAAUCACAUUACACAAUUGUCCCUCUAAACAAAAAAUCUUCUUAGAAGAGAAAGAGAACAGAAAAAUAAACAGAUAAGUAUACACUUGAAAGUCGACUUCUUUUUUAAUAAUUCACUAAUACAAAAACAGUUUCAAUUUGUUAUUAUUCACUUUUUAAUAAUAAAAUUUAAUUAUAAUCACAUUUUCUUGUUGUUAUGAAGACUUUUUAAUAACUUGGGCAUCAUACAUGCAACAAACUUUCCUCGUGGAACGACGAUAAAAUAAAUAUAAGUAGAUUGAUUGGUUUUGGUGCAUUGAGGAGGCUAUACAAAGCGGUCGGAAUUUUCCUAAUUAGAGAUGGAAUGAAAUAAUCGUGAAAGCGAGGCACAAUAAUAAAUAUGUACAGAGCGCGCGCGAAUAAAAUACUAAUGAGAUUGAUUGAUUGCACCUGAAAAGAUUGCAAUUAAAAUAAAUAAGUUUCGGCAAAGUUAUAUGCACAUAUGCGUUCCCAAGCACCCUAUCAUCACAUAUGCUUAUGUUUCCACUAUAUUACACGGUGUUGUCUACCAUAUACAAUAUUUGUUUGUAAUAUAAUAAUUAUAUAAUUUAACAUUUUGUUGCUAUAGAGUCCGAGCCCGGACCUGCGGGGCUUUGGAAGCCCCUCAACAGUGUCUGAGAUCAGCUGGCGAGUGCAGGUCCGGCUUCGGAAUGUGAUGUGUGAUGAUUAUAUUUCAGUUGGAGCUAUUUUGACGACGGCUGACUGACUGACUGACUGACUAUAAGAUGAACACUUUUAGCAUGUUUCUUCUUCUUCUUCUUGCACUUCAAUAUCCCAAUCGAUUCAAUAAACAAUAUUUAAAAACAGAACAAUGUUCUAGUGUCAAGUCGUGCGUUGUUGAAAUAUCUAUGCGCUGCGCAUGCGCCGCCAAAUAUUCUUUUGAUUGAUUCUGCUAUGGACGACUAUAAGUUAGGACACAAAAGCGCACCCAAAGUGACUCGUGGAAAUUCAAAUAAUCAAAGGUAACAUUUUUACGAGAAACGUGAGAAAAAAUUAUACAGGAAGUCCCAACAAAUUGGUAAGUGUUAUGACUCAAGUUUGAACAUUCUUUUCUGGGAAUCUUAGUUUUUGAGCUUGUUUUUGUUAAAAAAAAAUAUAUAUUUUAGUAACAAGCAAAAUCAACCAAUCCGAAACAUUUUCGAAACACCUGUAUAUUUGAAGAUAAUUUUAGGUGAGGCAGGGAUAAGUACUGCAAUCUAUAAAAAAAAUCAUUAAUUUUUUAACAUUUACAAGUGAAUAAUGAAUUUUACCAUGGGACAGCCUGUACAUUUAAAAUUUGCACUUUGACCCUUAUUUUUCAAAACGAAAACCAGUAAAGAUACAAGAAAAGUGUUGGGAGAAAGUUGUAGAGAAUUAAAUUUUCUUUAGACGCUCAAGCGACGGUUUCGUUUCAUUUUACCGCUGGUCAAGUAUUGAAAAUUAAUUUAUACCUAAACCGUUAAAGAUGAAAAUACGAUGUCUGUAGCAAAUUUAAUUCUCUACAACUUUGUUUUUUUUUUUUGUCAAUUGAGAAUUAAAUUCGUUGUUCUGAAAACUGGUCGCAUUGACUAUUAACUACUGAGAAGAACUGUUGAGUCGUUUUGUGUCCUAACCUACAGUUAUCCAUAAUUCUGAGUAAUUAUCAUUUGGAUGUACACGGUACAUAUAACAAAUACUUGGCCGAUAUUCCAACAUGAUCAUCAGAGAGAGAGAGAGUUCGGUAAACACUCAUGUAUGUGAAGAACCACAUUUAAAAGCGUCUGUAUCACUCGUCUUGUAAGCGCAAGCAGCAAACGUCCGUUCGUUGAAUGAGUGGCUUGAGUCCGGAUCGGUCGUUCGUUUCGCUUCUUCUUUAAACUAGAAAUUGAAAAAGUCACCUAGGGGCCGUAACGUGUGGUCAGACACUGGGCUUGGGCCUGGGGCCCUGCUGCUGCUGCUGCUGCUGCUGCUGGUGGUCGGUGGAGGUCCGUCGGGGGCGCGUCGGCACGAUCACCACCGGCAGGGUCGUGUGCACGGGGGGCGGCGUCGGCGUCGCGCCCGCCCCCUUCUUGCCCCCGGUGAAAAUUUUAACAGUUCUAUGUAAAAAAUCAGUCUUUUGUCCGCUGCUUCCAGCUUCUGGCCGUUUGGUGGUGGCGGUGGAGCUCGACGACGAGGACAUCGAGUGGCAGCGCACGACCAGAGGCGCGCCGCCCCCGCCCGACCACUCGCCGCCGCCGCCGCUCGACGACGACGACGACGACGAACCCAACAGGCCCGCCGAGCUCGAGCGGUACGGGGGCGGCGACUCCGACUCGAGCACGGUGCGGUUAGGCGGCGGUCGGAUGCAUUUCUGGUGGAUUUCGGACUCCUGUGAAAAAAGCGGGUUUAAAGGGGGCUGGGGUGGUUUGGGGGCGGCGCACCUGCUCCGGGUCCCGGAUGUGCAGUCUGGAGGAGGUGAAAGGGUGCUGCUCCUCGCCGUCUGGCAUGGCUAUGUUGGGCGGCAGGUUGAUGGCAAUGUCGGUGUGAACUGCGUGCAGUCGCACUUGGCGGUCGCGUGUCGCCGCCAACUCUCGGGCCGCUCUUCCGCCUCGCAGACGGUCCAUGCCGCCCACCCCCGCCGCGGCGCCGGCGCUCACAACCGACAGCAUCUGCAACAACACAUGCCAUCACAAUUUGUUAAAAUAUGCGUUUUCGUAUGAGGGUUAUUCAAUUUUUUUUUUGGAACAUUUUUAAUUUAAAACACGUUGCUAUCAGAAACGUGUUUUAAAAUAGUUGUUAAAGAGUUAUAAUUUUGUAGUUUAAUGGUUUCAAAAGUACUGCAUUGUUUAAGGAAAGAAAGUUUGUAUAUUUUUUGUUUAUUACAAAUUAACUUCCACAUGACAUUAGACAAAUUAUCGUAACUUUUCAAAAAAGUGCGUCAAAAAUUGUCGAUUUUUGUUGAAUUAAUUCGCCAAGUUGGUUAUUUUCGGUCGGUGGUCGUGAGUCAGCCCCUCGAAAUAAUCUCCAUAUCCGUCUUCUUUGUUUGCAUUGUCAGUGGUGGCAUUUCCACAAAAAACGCACAACUCCGUCUGUGUGUACAUUACGCGUUUCGGUCCGUUAAUCGCGCCAAAGCCAGUGGCAAUAAGCAACAAAAUUGUGCAUUUAAACCGAGUCACAAGCAAAGACACGGGCAGGCAGGCGAGUGGGUGCAGCGGUAUGAAGGUUACCGUUUAAGAUCGACGAUUGUUAUCUAACAACGACCCACGUGCCGAUAAACAAUGACAACAUUCCUAGCCUUGCCCAUUAUAACGACUUCGUAAAUCAUAAAAAUGGACACGAGAAUACAACACAACAAAAAUUACUCCAAUUUGAGGCAACAAUCACGCAAUGAUUAAUUUUUUGUGUGCGAACGCAGACGACGACGACACCCAAUUAGCCGACUCAUAACCCUCAUUUAAAUUCCAAUUAUUUCAAAUCGUGGAUUAAAGCACUUUCACAACAAUAAAACCGAACCUCAAUCAAGUCCGAACUCCCGAAUGGAGUAGUAAAUUGUGGCUUAAUUUAGGGUGAAAUUUUGAAUCAGAUCAGACGCCUUUGAAAUGAGAUUGGAGAAGCGCUGCUGACGUAGGCAACUUUAUCUACACGUUGGUGUAUGUGCGGGUGCAUACACUCAUGAUUAUUUCAACUGAAUGAGCGACAAUAAUCAAUUAUGAAAGCAAUUUUUAAUUUGAAAUUUGAUUGUUAGACGUGCAGACUGCCUUGAACGGAAAGUUAUGAAUAAAAUUAGCACAUAAUUCGUUUCAGUUCAAUAAAAAAUUGUAGAUUGACAGAUGUCAAUUGAACAACAGAGCCGCCUUUUUCCGCGUGUGACCUUUCCACAAAUAGAACAGCAACGUGUUAGUGACGUUUUUCUUAUUAAUCCCACUGGUGCCAACUUUUGGCUAUGAUUUAUUGUCGUAAUAUGGCGUGGGUGUUGUUGUAAACGAUUUUUUUUUGAAGUUUGAAACACUGCACUCGAUUUUUUCUCACUAGAGGGCGCUUUGGCAAUUACCGGUGAAAUACCGCACAAUGCGAAGCUCCUAAUUAAGGAUAGCAUUGUGGAAUGGAGGAGCGAAGUCGUCGUAAUUGCUAAUUGCCGUCGUGACAUAUAACGGAGGGUUUGUGUGUGUGCACCCACACUUGGAGGAGGCUUCUUGAGGUCGACGACCGCACACCUGCCGGCUUUCUCUCCUCUCUCCCAACCACCUGCACAAACACCACCGCUUAUCGGACCCUUAUGAUGGAUGGGCACCUGCCUUAAGAGCGACUGACUUCUUCAAUAUUAAUGGGGUCGUUAGGCUGCCACCAGACGAAUUGCCAACGGACUGACGUGGGGCUGAAACGCACGUACGCCAAGACGACAAUAAACGCGGAUUCCCCGGGAGGACACGUGGGGCGAACGACGAGACGAGAAAUUUCGAGAAUUUUUUGGGCCGAGGCGUUCAUAUUAAGUUGUUUUUUUUACUAGAUUAUCAGUGCCUACCACCACGCACAAUUAAAAAAAAAGUGGCCGGAUGUUAAAACUUGAAAAUUUUCACUGUCAAUUUGUCCGCUUAAAGGAGAGAUUUUGUUUUCAUUGCUCUGAAUUAUUAGAGUCCGCCUAAAAUUUCAUUUAAUACCAUUUCAAAUACGUUAGCUUAAAACGGGGCUAACAAAAAUGUCCGUUUGUCAGAGGUGUCCGCUUAUAUAACGUGUCCGUUAAGAGAGAUUUUACUGUAGUUGUAGUUAUUUUUCUUAAUAAAAUCGAUUAUUCCUUUA